GGGGAUAUGGCGAAAUUGGUAGACGCUGCGGACUUAAAAUCCGUUGACUUUAAAAAUCGUGAGGGUUCAAGUCCCUCUAUCCCCAA
This 86-nucleotide transfer RNA is filed under the name Eryngium planum. Its description in RNAcentral is "tRNA-Leu". It matches the Rfam family "tRNA". From Rfam's summary of the family: Transfer RNA (tRNA) molecules are approximately 80 nucleotides in length. Their secondary structure includes four short double-helical elements and three loops (D, anti-codon, and T loops). Further hydrogen bonds mediate the characteristic L-shaped molecular structure. tRNAs have two regions of fundamental functional importance: the anti-codon, which is responsible for specific mRNA codon recognition, and the 3' end, to which the tRNAs corresponding amino acid is attached (by aminoacyl-tRNA synthetases). tRNAs cope with the degeneracy of the genetic code in two manners: having more than one tRNA (with a specific anti-codon) for a particular amino acid; and 'wobble' base-pairing, i.e. permitting non-standard base-pairing at the 3rd anti-codon position. Lineage: Eukaryota; Viridiplantae; Streptophyta; Magnoliopsida; Apiales; Apiaceae. RNAcentral also lists the same sequence under 22 other names. The record is from RNAcentral.